This 253-nucleotide ribosomal RNA is filed under the name uncultured bacterium. RNAcentral's name for it is "partial 16S ribosomal RNA". It matches the Rfam family "Bacterial small subunit ribosomal RNA", at positions 524 to 776 of the family's 1533-position model. The record is from RNAcentral.
UACGAAGGGUGCUAGCGUUGUUCGGAUUUACUGGGCGUAAAGCGUGCGUAGGUGGCUUUACAAGUCAGGGGUGAAAUCCUGGGGCUCAACCCCAGAAUUGCCUUUGAAACUGUAGAGCUAGAGUAUCGGAGGGGAUAGCGGAAUUGCUAAUGUAGAGGUGAAAUUCGUAGAUAUUAGCAGGAACACCGGUGGCGAAGGCGGCUAUCUGGACGAUUACUGACACUCUGGCACGAAAGCGUGGGGAUCAAACAGG